UCGGCAAAAAUCCCACAAAAUAAAAUUAUCGGAUAAACAAAAUAUUGUUCAGACAUUCUGUAGAUCUCUCUAUCCACUGUUCACUGUGGUGGAAUGCCAUUGUAGAAGCUCUGAAGCUCAUCCAUGGCGUCCUCUGCAACCCUUCUUUCUUUCUCCCCAUUACCUUCUAAUCCCCCCCUUCAUAACCAUUCAACCAACCCUAAAAUCCCAACUAUUCGUUACCGCCUCAGCAGACUAUGCCAAGAAGGUCAGCUCCAUCUUGCCCGCCAACUCUUCGACACUCUUCCUCGCCCUUCCACCGUUCUUUGGAACACAAUCAUCAUUGGAUUGGUCUGCAACAACUUCCCCGAUGAAGCCCUUCUCUUCUACAGCAAUAUGAAAUCGUCUUCUCCAGAAGUUAAGUGCGAUUCCUACACUUACUCUUCUAUUCUCAAGGCCUGUGCCGAUACUCGCAAUCUCGUGGUUGGUAAGGCCGUACAUGCUCAUUUUCUUCGAUGUUUGAUGAAUCCUAGUAGAAUUGUGCAUAAUUCCCUUUUGAAUAUGUAUUCUAUGUGUUUGAGCACUACCCCAGAUGGUAAAAUGGCUCCUGGUCAUUCGGGGAAUGAUUUGGUACGCAAGGUGUUUGAUACAAUGCGUAAGAGAACUGUCGUUGCUUGGAAUACCCUUAUUGCUUGGUAUGUUAGAACGGAGAGGUAUGCUGAAGCUGUGAAACAAUUUAGGCUGAUGUUGAAACUUGGAAUAAAGCCAAGCCCAGUUAGUUUCGUUAAUGUGUUUCCAGCCUUAUCAUGUUUGAGGAACUUAAAGAAAGCCAAUGUUGUUCAUGGAAUGCUUGUGAAGUUCGGCAGUGAAUAUGUUAACGACCUUUAUGUUGUGAGCUCUGCAAUUUUUAUGUAUGCUGAGCUCGGUCGGCUCGAAUGUUCUAAGAAGGUUUUCGACAGUUGUUUGGAGAGAAACACGGAGGUUUGGAAUACAAUGAUCAGUGCCUAUGUUCAAAACAAUUGUCCUUUUGAAGGAAUUCAACUCUUUCUUCAAGCUAUGGAGUCUGAAGAUGCUGCUCUUGAUGAAGUAACUCUUCUUUCAGCCAUAGCAGCAGUUUCACACUUGCAGACCUUUGAAUUAGCAGAACAGUUGCACGCAUUUGUCGUCAAGAAUGUAGCCGUGUCGCAAGUUUGUGUAAUGAACGCCCUCAUUGCCAUGUACUCCAGGUGCAACUCAACUGAUGUAUCAUUUAAAAUUUUCGAUUAUAUGCCUGAAAAGGAUGUUGUUUCAUGGAAUACAAUGAUCUCUGCUUUUGUUCAAAAUGGAUUGAACGAUGAAGCAUUAAUGCUUUUCUAUGAGAUGCAGAAGCAAGGUAUGAUGAUCGAUUCUGUGGCUGUUACCGCUCUGCUUUCAGCAGCUUCAGAUCUUAGAAACCCCAAUAUUGGUAAGCAAACUCAUGGCUAUCUACUUAGGAAUGGUAUCCAAUUUGAGGGAAUGGAUAGCUAUCUUAUAGACAUGUAUGCUAAAUCUGGUUUGAUUGAGGCUGCUCAAAAUGUAUUUGAGAAAAGCUAUAGUCAUGAAAGAGAUCAAGCUACUUGGAAUGCCAUGAUGUCCGGCUAUACACAAAACGGCCUCGUCCAUCAGGCCUUUCUCGUCCUUAGACAGAUGCUCGACCAAAAGAUAACGCCUAAUGUUGUGACACUAGCUUCGAUUCUUCCUGCUUGUAAUCCAUCAGGGUACAUAGAUUGGGGCAAGCAACUCCAUGGAUUCUCCAUCCGUAACGACUUGGACCAAAACGUCUUUGUUGCAACUGCUCUUAUCGACAUGUAUUCCAAAUCAGGGUCGAUCGCCAAUGCUGAAAAUGUUUUUAGAAAAGCUAGUGAGAGAAGUAUAGUCACUUAUUCCACCAUGAUAUUGGGUUAUGGUCAACAUGGGAUGGGUGAGAGUGCUCUCUCUAUGUUCCACACAAUGCAAAAAUCUGGUAUUAGGCCUGAUGCAGUUACCUUCGUAGCAAUCUUGUCUGCCUGUAGUUAUUCGGGUUUGGUCGACGAAGGCCUUCAAAUUUUUGAGUCAAUGAGAACUGUAUAUAACAUUCAACCAUCCACUGAACACUUCUGUUGUGUAGCAGACAUGCUGGGGAGGGUCGGGAGAGUGGACGAAGCCUAUGAGUUCGUCGUAGGAUUAGGGGAACAAGGGAAUGCAAUGGAAAUUUGGGGAUCACUUCUUGCUGCUUGUAGGAUUCAUAAACAAUUUGAGUUAGGAAAGGUUGUUGCCAAGAAGUUGCUUGAAAUGGAGAAAAGAAAUGGGAAGACAGGUUACCACGUUUUGCUUUCGAAUAUAUAUGCGGAGGAAAGAAACUGGGAAAACGUCGAUAUCGUUCGAAAACAGAUGAAGGAGAGAGGUUUGAAAAAGGAAACUGGAAGCAGUUGGAUUGAGAUUGCUGGUUAUAUGAACCAUUUUGCUUCCAAGGAUAGGAAACAUCCACAAUCCGAUCAGAUUUACAACAUGUUGGAGGAAUUACUGAUGGAGAUGAAACAUGCUGGUUAUAAACCACAGUUCACCUCCUAUGCCGGUGGUCUUCUGGAGACUGAUGAGUGAUACAUUGGCCAUAUUCAGGAGAAGAUGCACGAGGUAAGCUGUCAUGGCUUUGCUUUUGAUUUUCCCGAAAGGCCUCAUACCAAUGGGGAUGUAUUUUUUACUUAUGAACCCAUGAUCAACCUCGUAAUUAGCCGAUGUGGGACUCCUCUCCCAACAAUUCUCAACAGUGUCUUCAUAGCCUGAUAAAACUUAUUCAAGCCAUUCGUUUGACUGCUGCGUUUUCUUAGCCUAACUAGAUUACUGAUCUUUCUGCUUACCUUCGAGUUCAGCAAAUGCACGAAGUUAUCUGUGUUCUUAUGAGAUCCCACAUUGGUUGGAGAGGGGAACGAAGUAUUUUUUUUAUAAGAGUGUGAAAACCUCUCCCUAGCAGACGCGUUUUAAAACCGUUUGGCUGAUGGCGAUACGUAACGGGCCAAAGUGGACAAUAUUUGCUAGCAGUGGGCUCGGACUAUUACAAUUCUCCAUUGUCUCUUAGCAACAAAGCUGGACUGGGCCUUCACACGUCGUGUUUUCUCUGGUUUGGGUCACCUCUCAUCCACCCUGGACUAGAGUAAGUAAGUGUUACACUGAAAUGAACAAGUUUGGACGGGUCACCUUACAUCCACGGUUGAGUUGGCCAAUAUUCUGGUCACUCAAGAUGAACUUGUCUGUCUGUCGCAAGGCUCACCCACAAGCUACCCUUCAAC
Cucurbita pepo subsp. pepo (vegetable marrow) is the source of this 3263-nucleotide non-coding RNA. The record is from RefSeq and is a predicted model, not a curated record. NCBI's taxonomy places the organism in Eukaryota, Viridiplantae, Streptophyta, Magnoliopsida, Cucurbitales, Cucurbitaceae.